Long non-coding RNA from Gasterosteus aculeatus aculeatus (three-spined stickleback), 367 nucleotides. The record is from Ensembl. Lineage: Eukaryota; Metazoa; Chordata; Actinopteri; Perciformes; Gasterosteidae.
GUUUGUGACGGAUAGUGUCAAGGGGUUGAGCUGAAGUCAUCAAUGAGCGCCCUAUUUUACGGGCCGUCUCCCGUUCUCUAGCAGUCCGCUGAGAGGAGAGUAACAGGUUUUGCCGGCCGAGUGGAGCCCCUUCGGACGUCGUUGGGGAGGGUUUAGCUCCUCAGCCUUUCCAGGUUGCACGGGUGAUUAGAUGAACUGGGGAUUCGCUGUCUCCACACUGACGCUCGCCCCACCCUCGCCGUGUUUAGGGACCCGGGCAAGUACACAGAUUGUUCGUGAUAAGCUGUCAGCCAAAUAAGAAUAGGUUUACGGUGUUUGUUUUGUACUGAUGUACUAAUAAAUUAUUGUUUUGUACCACAAUAUGAUC